AGUAACGCGUAUGCAACCUACCUUUAACUGGGGGAUAGCCCGGAGAAAUUCGGAUUAAUACCCCAUAAUAUUUUACUAAGGCAUCUUAGUAUUAUUAAAGCUCCGGCGGUUAGAGAUGGGCAUGCGUGACAUUAGGUAGUUGGUAAGGUAACGGCUUACCAAGCCAGCGAUGUCUAUGGGGUCUUAAAGGAUGAUCCCACACACUGGUACUGAGACACGGACCAGACUCC
This 230-nucleotide ribosomal RNA is filed under the name uncultured bacterium. RNAcentral describes it as "partial 16S ribosomal RNA". It matches the Rfam family "Bacterial small subunit ribosomal RNA", at positions 109 to 339 of the family's 1533-position model. The record is from RNAcentral.